Molecule: ribosomal RNA, 253 nt
Filed under: uncultured bacterium
Lineage: Bacteria
Description: partial 16S ribosomal RNA
Rfam family: Bacterial small subunit ribosomal RNA
Source: RNAcentral
UACAGAGGGUGCGAGCGUUGUUCGGAAUUAUUGGGCGUAAAGAGCUCGUAGGCGGCUUGUCACGUCGGGUGUGAAAGCCCGGGGCUUAACCCCGGGUCUGCAUUCGAUACGGGCAGGCUAGAGUGUGGUAGGGGAGAUCGGAAUUCCUGGUGUAGCGGUGAAAUGCGCAGAUAUCAGGAGGAACACCGGUGGCGAAGGCGGAUCUCUGGGCCAUUACUGACGCUGAGGAGCGAAAGCGUGGGGAGCGAACAGG